AUUGAACGCUGGCGGCAUGCCUUACACAUGCAAGUCGAACGGCAGCACGGGAGCAAUCCUGGUGGCGAGUGGCGAACGGGUGAGUAAUAUAUCGGAACGUGCCCAGUCGUGGGGGAUAACGUAGCGAAAGCUACGCUAAUACCGCAUACGAUCUACGGAUGAAAGCGGGGGAUCGCAAGACCUCGCGCGAUUGGAGCGGCCGAUAUCGGAUUGGGGAGUUAGUGGGGUAAAGGCUCACCAAGCCGACGAUCUGUAGCUGGUCUGAGAGGACGAUCAGCCACACUGGGAAGGAGACACGGCCCGGACUGCUACGGGAGGCAGCAAUGGGGAAUUUUGGACAAUGGGCGCAAGCCGGAUCCAGCAAUGCCGCGUGCAGGAUGAAGGCCUUCGGGUUGUAAACUGCUUUUGUACGGAACGAAACGGCGAGCUCUAAUACAGUUUGCUAAUGACGGUACCGUAAGAAUAAGCACCGGCUAACUACGUGCCAGCCGCCGCAGUAA
Molecule: ribosomal RNA, 500 nt
Filed under: uncultured bacterium
Lineage: Bacteria
Description: partial 16S ribosomal RNA
Rfam family: Bacterial small subunit ribosomal RNA
Source: RNAcentral